UCUGAUUGCACAACUUUAAUU
This 21-nucleotide non-coding RNA is filed under the name Caenorhabditis elegans. The record is from RNAcentral. Lineage: Eukaryota; Metazoa; Nematoda; Chromadorea; Rhabditida; Rhabditidae.